This 301-nucleotide ribosomal RNA is filed under the name uncultured bacterium. RNAcentral describes it as "partial 16S ribosomal RNA". It matches the Rfam family "Bacterial small subunit ribosomal RNA", at positions 509 to 807 of the family's 1533-position model. The record is from RNAcentral.
CAGCCGCCGCGGGAAUACGUAGGUGGCAAGUGUUAUCUGGAAUGAUUGGGCGUAAAGCGUCUGUAGGUGGCUUUUCAAGUCCGCCGUCAAUUCCCCGGGCUCAACCCUUGACAGGCAGUGGAAACUACCAAGCUGGAGUACGGUAGGGGCAGAGGGAAUUUCCGGUGGAGCGGUGAAAUGCAUUGAGAUCGGAAAGAACACCAACGACGAAAGCACUCUGCUGGGCCGACACUGACACUGAGAGAUGAAAGCUAGGGGAGCAAAUGGGAUUAGAUACCCCCGUAGUCCCUGUCUCUUAUAC